GUGGGGAGACGAUAGAAGACGAGAAAACCAGAGUAGGAAUCGGAGAAGUCAAACGCCAUACAUGGAGGCACCGUCGCGGCAACCACCACCGCUGCAUCCUGCAAUCGCACCGCUAUCUUACUUUCUGGGGACAUGGCGAGGCCAAGGUGAAGGUGCCUAUCCCACCAUCUCAUCCUUUCCCUACGGUGAGGAGCUCCAUUUCUCCCAUUCUGGAAAGCCUGUGAUAGCUUAUACUCAGAAGACAUGGAAGCUUAAUUCCGGAGAGCCUAUGCACGCCGAAAAUGGGUAUUGGCGUCCUAAGCCUGAUGGCAGUAUCGAAGUUGUCAUUCCUCAAAGCACUGGCCUUGUUGAGGUUCAGGUGAUUUGAUGAUGAAUAGGCAGAUGGUCUUGUGAAUAACAUGAAACACGGAAAGGGCAAUUGGUCUGUUGUUUCUGCUCACCAGUGCCAUACAGGGGUAUGCUGUCAAGAUGGUCCAGUCAUAUAAGAAAGCCUAAACUCUUCAUCAUUUAGGAUGGGAAUAAUUCUCAAAAUUGCACAUUUGGCCACCAAUCCUUUGAAGUUAGAUAUCAGGAAUCAUCCAGUUUGAGGACCUUCAGAUGCUGGUCAUAUUCAAUAGAAGUUUCAUCUUUUCAUGCAGAAAGAUCAUCAAGGUGAAGGAGAUAAAUCGAGUAUUCAGAUUGGUGGACAGAGAAUUAUCGUAUGUAGUUCAGAUAGCUAACCUUGUAGGUCUGAAACCACAUCUGAAAGCAGUGCUCAAGAAGCUCUGAUGGGAAAUAUUUCUGGCUUUCCUCAUAAGAGAUUAGAAACUCAUUAUACUUGUUUCCUUUUCCUUUUCCACCUCAAACUGUCGUUAUAUUUGCUUGUUAAUAUAGUCCUUUUAUUUAAUUUAUUAGUAUAGUUUCUCUAAAUUUCUGUAUUUAAUUUGGUUCAAUCUUAAUUUUAUUCUA
This is a non-coding RNA of Carica papaya (papaya), 948 nucleotides long. NCBI's taxonomy places the organism in Eukaryota, Viridiplantae, Streptophyta, Magnoliopsida, Brassicales, Caricaceae. The record is from RefSeq and is a predicted model, not a curated record.